UGUGUCUCCUCUAUCUGAACUCCGUUUGGACUGUUCUUGGACUCGUUGGACUCCGGUUGUCAUCCUAGAUCUCGUUUUGCCUUUAUUAUGGAUCAAAUCUUGAGAUAUUUUCUUCAACAAAGAUAAAUAUUUGUAUCUAAAAUAGUAUUCAUACUAAACCAAAGCAAACAGAAGAAAACCUUUAUAGAAGUAGAAACUUUCUCCUCGCUGGCACGACCAUGUAGAAUGAAUUGACAAAGAAUGAGGUGAGGC
RNAcentral lists this long non-coding RNA (252 nucleotides) under Elaeis guineensis (African oil palm). RNAcentral describes it as "long non-coding RNA (EGUI_LNC006332)". Lineage: Eukaryota; Viridiplantae; Streptophyta; Magnoliopsida; Arecales; Arecaceae. The record is from RNAcentral.